Molecule: ribosomal RNA, 253 nt
Filed under: uncultured bacterium
Lineage: Bacteria
Description: partial 16S ribosomal RNA
Rfam family: Bacterial small subunit ribosomal RNA
Source: RNAcentral
UACGAAGGGUGCAAGCGUUAUUCGGAAUUACUGGGCGUAAAGCGCGCGUAGGUGGUUUGUUAAGUCUGUUGUGAAAGCCCCGGGCUCAACCUGGGAAUGGCAAUGGAUACUGGCAAGCUAGAGUGCGGUAGAGGGUAGUGGAAUUCCCGGUGUAGCGGUGAAAUGCGUAGAGAUCGGGAGGAACACCAGUGGCGAAGGCGGCUACCUGGACCAGCACUGACACUGAGGCACGAAAGCGUGGGGAGCAAACAGG